AUCGCUCGCAGCCUGAUCAGCCAUGCCGCGUGUGCGAUGAAGGCCUUCGGGUUGUAAAGCACUUUUGGCAGGAAAGAAACGUCAUGGGUUAAUACCCCGUGAAACUGACGGUACCUGCAGAAUAAGCACCGGCUAACUACGUGCCAGCAGCCGCGGUAAU
This 160-nucleotide ribosomal RNA is filed under the name uncultured bacterium. RNAcentral's name for it is "partial 16S ribosomal RNA". It matches the Rfam family "Bacterial small subunit ribosomal RNA", at positions 371 to 524 of the family's 1533-position model. The record is from RNAcentral.